Gallus gallus (chicken) is the source of this 957-nucleotide long non-coding RNA. The record is from Ensembl. NCBI's taxonomy places the organism in Eukaryota, Metazoa, Chordata, Aves, Galliformes, Phasianidae.
CAAUGAGUUAGGAAAUUAUUCCCGUGGAGAGGAGAAAAUGUUUAUGGUCUGUGACAGCGCAAACUCUGCAGAAUGUUUUGUAAGAAGACCUAAAGAGGAUGGGAAGUGAAGAUUAAAAGGAGAGAACGAAGGGAUCGCUGUAAGAAUGGAAAGGGAAAAGAAAGGGAUAGGUAAGGCCAUAGAAAUUCGGUGCAGGAGCUGAGAGUGGGAAGCAGAUAAUCAAUGGGAAGAAAGUCAGACACACAAACAUCCCUUCUCCUUGACAGGACAAUAAAUUGGCACUGACAGAUGGGUACGAAAGAGGCUCUAAAUUCUCAGUGUGGGCUUUCAACAGAGAAGAGGUGACCGAAGCUCUGGAAGUGCAUCCCUGUGGGCCCUGCAGGAGGCAGAGCCGUGUGCAAGUGGAGGCACUCGUGGUCGCUGUUGGGUUGGUUGGCUGCCUGUUACGAAGUCACCCUGAGCCACCCAUAUUAAAACCCAGAAAGCUCUUCCACUGACCGGGGGCACCACAGGAAUUCCUUUUGCUUUGAACAGACGCAGCGCCCUUCCUCCUCCUCACUGCUGUUUCCCACUGAGCGUCUGCUGGGAUGAGCUGGUUGGUGGCCAUGGCUUAGAAGAUUAUAUCCACUAAGUUUAUUUAGCCAGGAAUACUGAUCCCAGAAGGACACGGAUGCCCAAACAAGGAAGAGCUCCCGCUGUGACGCCCGUACUUUGCUGUAAGUGGAGGUGCUUUGCCAUGGAAGUGUUCUCCAUUUGCCACCACUGCUCUUGUGUAAGAGGUGAAAAAGCCCCUGCUGCUCUGAGACUGCAGCUGGGCAGGGGAGGAACGAUGCUGCGAAAGAAAACUCGUGAGCGAUGAUAAAAUGGAGAAACUCACCUUGAACUGCAUUGCUAGGGUGUGUCUCUUGGAAUACAGCCACACUGGAAAGGAACCUGAAAGCUCCGAUGUUUUGCCUA